This 464-nucleotide ribosomal RNA is filed under the name uncultured bacterium. RNAcentral's name for it is "partial 16S ribosomal RNA". It matches the Rfam family "Bacterial small subunit ribosomal RNA", at positions 339 to 795 of the family's 1533-position model. The record is from RNAcentral.
CUACGGGGUGCACCAGUGGGGAAUAUUGGACAAUGGGCGCAAGCCUGAUCCAGCAAUACCGCGUGUGUGAAGAAGGCCUGCGGGUUGUAAAGCACUUUCAAUUGUGAAGAAAAGCCUGGGGUUAAUACCCUCGGGUCUUGACGUUAACUUUAGAAGAAGCACCGGCUAACUCCGUGCCAGCAGCCGCGGUAAUACGGAGGGUGCGAGCGUUAAUCGGAAUUACUGGGCGUAAAGCGUACGUAGGCGGCUAGGUCAGUCAGAUGUGAAAGCCCCGGGCUUAACCUGGGAACUGCAUUUGAUACUGCCUGGCUAGAGGAUGGUAGAGGGAAGUGGAAUUACGGGUGUAGCGGGGAAAUGCGUAGAUAUCCGGAGGAACACCAGUGGCGAAGGCGACUUCCUGGACCAAUACUGACGCUGAGGUACGAAAGCGUGGGUAGCAAACAGGAUUAGAUACCCGUGUAGUC